AUGAAGAAAGCCACGGCCCCGGGCCCUGAUGGUUGUCCAGUUGAAUUCUUUUGUAGAUUCUGGCCUAUUCUUCGGCCCCUUUUCUUUAAUAUUGUGAAUGGGUUUGCCCUAGGUACGGUAGAUAUUUCCCGCGUAAACUACGGGGCUAUCAGCCUAAUCCCUAAAGUGAAAGGGGUGGACAACAUUAAGUUGUUCAGACCAAUCACUCUCAUCAAUGUCCCCUUUAAGAUUUGCGCUAAGGCUUAUGCGACCCGAUUGGCUCCAGUGGCUCAACGGGUUAUCCUCAAAAGCCAAACUGCCUUUCUUAAAGGUCAUAACAUCCUGGAGGGCCCUAUUGCUCUCCUUGAAAUUGUUCAUGAGCUAAAACAGAAAAAGCAGCAAGGGGUGCCGCUCAAGCUCGAUUUCGAAAAAGCCUACGACCGUGUAAAUUGGGAGUUUGUACGGGAGGUUCUCCUCAAAAAGGGUUUUGAAGCAGGAUUUGUCCACGUGUCAUGA
RNAcentral lists this ribosomal RNA (495 nucleotides) under Triticum aestivum (bread wheat). RNAcentral's name for it is "partial small subunit ribosomal RNA". Lineage: Eukaryota; Viridiplantae; Streptophyta; Magnoliopsida; Poales; Poaceae. The record is from RNAcentral.